Molecule: long non-coding RNA, 893 nt
Filed under: Cricetulus griseus (Chinese hamster)
Lineage: Eukaryota; Metazoa; Chordata; Mammalia; Rodentia; Cricetidae
Description: lncRNA (ENSCGRG00015036037.1)
Source: RNAcentral
UGUUUUUGUGUUUUGUGUUUUGGUUUUUCGAGACAGGGUUUCUUUGUGUAACCCUGGUUGUCCUGGAACUUUCUUGGUAGACCAGGCUGCCUUGAACUCACAGAGAUCCUCCUGCCUCUGCCAUCUGAGUGCUGGGACUAAAGGCAUGUUCAGUGGAUGUUUUGAGGUCAGGUCCCAAGCUCAGGGCUGGGACCCUCAGUAGAGAACCAGACAGAAACUGUGCAAUACCUGGACACUGGCCAUAGGGUCCCUGGAGGUGGCGAAGCCCCAGCUCACUCCCCAGUCAUAACCAGCACACCAAACCAACCGACAUCAGUGAUUUCACCUGCUCUGGGGAUUCCUGGACCUUCACCCGGGAGUCGCCACCUGGCCCAAGGGAGAUUCCAGUCCUCCCCAGUGCCAGCGACAUGCCCUUCUGUGGUCUGGAACCUGCUGGGUCUCGGGAAUAAUUCUCAUUAUUGAAGAUGGGGAUUUGUCUGUAGCUUCGGAGCCUGUCCUGGAAAUUGCUCUGUAGAUCAGCCUGGUCUCGAACACAGAGAUCCAACUGCCCCUGCUUCUGGAGUACUGGAAUUAAAGAUGUGUGCCACUAUCGCCUGCCUGGCUUUCAACUGUCUUGAAAGCUCUGUUUCUCUGAAUUUCUUAAAUUUAUUUCUGUGCGCGCAGAAGUUAGUUCCUCUUUCGGCCAUGUGCGUUCUAGGGUUUGAACUCGGGUCAAGUUUGGCGACAAGCCCCUUUACCUGCUGAGCUGUCUUGCUCACUCAGUGCCUGUGUCUGCGUUCCCCCACGGCUGGCCGACUCUCCUUCUGGCAGUCCACCUCGCCCUCUAGUGGCCUCAGAGGGAACCGUAACACCGGGAUCUAUGGACGUUGUAACCUGUGUGAACCAAGUCUGGC